This 253-nucleotide ribosomal RNA is filed under the name uncultured bacterium. Its description in RNAcentral is "partial 16S ribosomal RNA". It matches the Rfam family "Bacterial small subunit ribosomal RNA", at positions 524 to 776 of the family's 1533-position model. The record is from RNAcentral.
UACGGGGGGGGCAAGCGUUGUUCGGAAUUACUGGGCGUAAAGGGCUCGUAGGCGGCCAACUAAGUCAGACGUGAAAUCCCCAGGCUUAACCUGGGAAUGGCAUUUGAAACUGGCGAGCUAGAGUGUGAUAGAGGAUGGCGGAAUUCCCGGUGUAGCGGUGAAAUGCGUAGAGAUCGGGAGGAACAUCCGUGGCGAAAGCGGCUUCCUGGACCAGUACCGACGUUCAGGCACGAAAGCGUGGGGAGCAAACAGG